CGUUAAGUUUAGUAGUGGCGACCGGCGCACGGGUAAGUAACACGUACCCAACCUCGCGAUAACUCGGGGAUAGCCUUUCGAAAGAAAGAUUAAUACCCGAUGGCAUAAUAGAACCGCAUGGUUUGAUUAUUAAAGAAUUUCGGUUAUCGAUGGGGAUGCGUUCCAUUAGGCAGUUGGUGGGGUAACGGCCCACCAAACCUUCGAUGGAUAGGGGUUCUGAGAGGAAGGUCCCCCACAUUGGAACUGAGACACGGUCCAA
This 259-nucleotide ribosomal RNA is filed under the name uncultured bacterium. Its description in RNAcentral is "partial 16S ribosomal RNA". It matches the Rfam family "Bacterial small subunit ribosomal RNA", at positions 74 to 334 of the family's 1533-position model. The record is from RNAcentral.